RNAcentral lists this transfer RNA (34 nucleotides) under Uroplatus fimbriatus (common flat-tail gecko). Its description in RNAcentral is "partial tRNA-Ser". The record is from RNAcentral. Lineage: Eukaryota; Metazoa; Chordata; Lepidosauria; Squamata; Gekkonidae.
GAGCCGGACAAUCGAACUGCUAACUCCAACGUCC